Molecule: ribosomal RNA, 400 nt
Filed under: Vibrio parahaemolyticus
Lineage: Bacteria; Pseudomonadati; Pseudomonadota; Gammaproteobacteria; Vibrionales; Vibrionaceae
Description: partial 23S ribosomal RNA
Source: RNAcentral
GUUGUAUGGUUAAGUGACUAAGCGUACACGGUGGAUGCCUUGGCAGUCAGAGGCGAUGAAAGACGUAGUAACUUGCGAUAAGCCCAGAUUAGGUAGUAACAACCAUUUGAGUCUGGGAUUUCUGAAUGGGGAAACCCACKURCAUAAGYAMGUAUCCUUACCUGAAUACAUAGGGUAAGGAGGCGAACCGGGGGAACUGAAACAUCUAAGUACCCCGAGGAAAAGAAAUCAACCGAGAUUCCGAAAGUAGCGGCGAGCGAAAUUGGACUAGCCCUUAAGCUUUACACGCGUUAGACGAACGGUCUGGAAAGUCCGACGAUACAGGGUGAUAGUCCCGUAGUUGACGACGUGUGUUCAGUGAAAUCGAGUAGGGCGGGACACGUGAUAUCCUGUCUGAAUA